UCUCGGGCUCCGUGCAACGCUCCGGCUGCAAACCCCGCCAGGUCCGGAAGGAAGCAACGGUAGUGGUUUGGACGUGUGCCGCGGAUUACCCGGGGCCU
RNAcentral lists this signal recognition particle RNA (98 nucleotides) under Candidatus Solibacter sp. RNAcentral's name for it is "signal recognition particle sRNA small type". It matches the Rfam family "Bacterial small signal recognition particle RNA". From Rfam's summary of the family: The signal recognition particle (SRP) is a universally conserved ribonucleoprotein involved in the co-translational targeting of proteins to membranes. Archaeal SRP consists of a 7S RNA and homologues of the eukaryotic SRP19 and SRP54 proteins. In most bacteria, the SRP consists of a 4.5S RNA and the Ffh protein (a homologue of the eukaryotic SRP54 protein). The record is from RNAcentral. Lineage: Bacteria; Pseudomonadati; Acidobacteriota; Terriglobia; Bryobacterales; Solibacteraceae.